UAGGGAAUCUUCCACAAUGGACGAAAGUCUGAUGGAGCAACGCCGCGUGAGUGAAGAAGGGUUUCGGCUCGUAAAACUCUGUUGUUAAAGAAGAACAUAUCUGAGAGUAACUGUUCAGGUAUUGACGGUAUUUAACCAGAAAGCCACGGCUAACUACGUAUCAG
This 164-nucleotide ribosomal RNA is filed under the name uncultured bacterium. RNAcentral's name for it is "partial 16S ribosomal RNA". It matches the Rfam family "Bacterial small subunit ribosomal RNA", at positions 355 to 511 of the family's 1533-position model. The record is from RNAcentral.